CAGCCCUUGACAUGUCCCGUAUGGAUUUCAGAGAUGAGAUCCUUCAGUUCGGCUGGCGGGAACACAGGUGCUGCAUGGCUGUCGUCAGCUCGUGUCGUGAGAUGUUGGGUUAAGUCCCGCAACGAGCGCAACCCUCGGCCUUAGUUGCCAUCAUUUAGUUGGGCACUCUAAGGCGACUGCCGGUGAUAAGCCGGAGGAAGGUGGGGAUGACGUCAAGUCCUCAUGGCCCUUACGGGCUGGGCUACACACGUGCUACAAUGGCGGUGACAGAGGGAUGCAAUAGGGCAACCUUUCGCAAAUCUUGAAAAACCGUCUCAGUUCGGAUUGGGGUCUGCAACUCGACCCCAUGAAGUUGGAAUCGCUAGUAAUCGCGGAUCAGCACGCCGCGGUGAAUACGUUCCC
RNAcentral lists this ribosomal RNA (402 nucleotides) under uncultured bacterium. RNAcentral describes it as "bacterial SSU rRNA". It matches the Rfam family "Bacterial small subunit ribosomal RNA", at positions 975 to 1375 of the family's 1533-position model. The record is from RNAcentral.